This 424-nucleotide ribosomal RNA is filed under the name Fusobacteriota bacterium. Its description in RNAcentral is "Fusobacteria bacterium partial 16S ribosomal RNA". It matches the Rfam family "Bacterial small subunit ribosomal RNA", at positions 355 to 776 of the family's 1533-position model. Lineage: Bacteria; Fusobacteriati; Fusobacteriota. The record is from RNAcentral.
UGAGGAAUAUUGGUCAAUGGGCGAGAGCCUGAACCAGCCAAGUAGCGUGCAGGAUGACGGCCCUAUGGGUUGUAAACUGCUUUUAUGUGGGGAUAAAGUGCGUGACGUGUCAUGCAUUGCAGGUACCACAUGAAUAAGGACCGGCUAAUUCCGUGCCAGCAGCCGCGGUAAUACGGAAGGUCCGGGCGUUAUCCGGAUUUAUUGGGUUUCAAGGGAGCGUAGGCUGUCUAUUAAGCGUGUUGUGAAAUUUACCGGCUCAACCGGUGGCUUGCAGCGCGAACUGGUCGACUUGAGUAUGCAGGAAGUAGGCGGAAUUCAUGGUGUAGCGGUGAAAUGCUUAGAUAUCAUGACGAACUCCGAUUGCGCAGGCAGCUUACUGUAGCAUAACUGACGCUGAUGCUCGAAAGUGCGGGUAUCAAACAGG